GAUGAAGAACGUAGCGAAAUGCGAUACGUAAUGUGAAUUGCAGAAUUCAGUGAAUCAUCGAAUCUUUGAACGCACAUUGCGCCCCUUGGUAUUCCGAGGGGCAUGCCUGUUCGAGCGUCAUUAUAACCCUCAAGCUCAGCUUGGUGUUGGGGCCUGCUGCACUGGCAGCCCUUAAAAUCAGUGGCGGCGCCAUCUGGCUCUAAGCGUAGUAAUUCUUCUCGCUAUGGAGUCCUGGUGGAUGCUUGCCAUCAACCCCCAAUUUUUCUAUGGUUGACCUCGGAUCAGGUAGGGAUACCCGCUGAACUUAAGCAUAUCAAUAAGCGGAGGA
This 328-nucleotide unclassified non-coding RNA is filed under the name soil metagenome. Its description in RNAcentral is "partial contains 5.8S ribosomal RNA, internal transcribed spacer 2, and large subunit ribosomal RNA". The stretch from base 1 to 120 matches the Rfam family "5.8S ribosomal RNA", at positions 35 to 154 of the family's 154-position model. The record is from RNAcentral.